GCUGGGCAUGGUGGUGCGUGCCUGUAAUCCUAGCUACUCGGGAGGCUGAGACAGGAGAAUCACUUGAACCCAGGAGGGAGAGGUUGCAGUGAGCCGAGAUCACGUCACUGCACUCCAGCCUGGGCAACAGAGUGAGACUCUGUCUCAA
Molecule: non-coding RNA, 148 nt
Filed under: Homo sapiens (human)
Lineage: Eukaryota; Metazoa; Chordata; Mammalia; Primates; Hominidae
Source: Rfam by way of RNAcentral